UGGUGGAGUGAUUUGUCUGGUUAAUUCCGAUAACGAACGAGACCCUGUCCUGCUAACUAGGUUGUGUUUUCUCGGGUUGGUGUUUCUGGUGUUCCUUCUCGGGGCGCCGGCCCAAUCCACUUGUGAACACAACACUCUUCUUAGAGGGACUGGCGGCUGUUAGCCGCACGAGAUAGAGCAAUAACA
RNAcentral lists this ribosomal RNA (186 nucleotides) under uncultured eukaryote. RNAcentral's name for it is "partial 18S ribosomal RNA". It matches the Rfam family "Eukaryotic small subunit ribosomal RNA", at positions 1299 to 1458 of the family's 1831-position model. The record is from RNAcentral.